UUAAAAAAAAAAAAAGUGUGAUGAAGCAAAAAACCAUCAUUUAUAAGUGCCUGACGUAAAAUGACAACUCUAAUGCAGAUCCCAAUGGAUCAAUGGGCAUUUCGGAUGUGCAUCAAAUUUAUCUAAAAAGGGGUGAAAAUAUGAUCAUAUACAAUUUCCAGAAGAAAAGCGAAAUUGGAAAAAAUUGCAUAAAAUUUUCAAAGAUAUAAGAGAGUUUUGCCCUACCCAAUAUCAAUAGCAGCGUCUUCAGA
This 251-nucleotide unclassified non-coding RNA is filed under the name Hevea brasiliensis (rubber tree). The record is from RNAcentral. Lineage: Eukaryota; Viridiplantae; Streptophyta; Magnoliopsida; Malpighiales; Euphorbiaceae.